AGGUUUCGAGAGUGAGGACAGCUACUUUCAAUGCUCUAGAGUGAGAAUGAGCUGGGAAUGGCAGAAGAAGGCCAGGAGAACUGCAGUGAGGAUGAGGGCAAUGGAUGGAAGGAAAAAAUGAGAAAACAGUAAAGGAAGGACAGAGCAAGGAGUGAUGGAGAAACGUCGAAGCUUCGAGUUGAUGGGAAGGAAGAAACCUGGGCACCAAGAAAGGAAGGACCAGGGGCCCUGCAGCCUGCAGAGGGUGGUCCCGGUGGCUGCAUGGUUUCCACUUACCCGACCUGAGCAGCAUUGCCCGGUACAGCCCGGUGGCUUCGGCCGGCGCUUUGCCCCACUCGCCCAGUUUCUGCGCCAUGCCUUCAGCUGAGUGUCCGGACCCGGGAGCCUGGACUAGGAGCCUGGGAAGUGGCUCAGUGAUAGUGACACGCCCUGCUGCUCCACCCGCCCAGGGAUCUGGUUACUGUAGGCGUAGGCGUAGGCUUAGGAGACACUGAGGUGGUGUAAGAGGCCAGGGCACAGGCAAUCUCUGUGCCUGGAGCAGUCAGGGAGCAGCGGGCGUCCGGACACCGUUGCAGCAUCACAUGGAGCACCGCCGACUUCCUUCCAGCCUGGCCUCUUGCCCGCUUGGCCCAGUUCUUGGCCACUGGCCUCUGUGAAGGCUGCAAGCAGGUAUGGGAUUCGCAAGCGUCAUUCCUGGGAUUCAUUCCCAGCCAGGCUGGUGAAGAGAAGAAAGUCAGGGUCCUCAUCCGAGAUGAGUGGAGAGCCAUAGUCUUUCACCCACAGGGUUAUUAAGGUGAGAUUUGGUACAAAGUGCUACGAACCCAACAGUUUGGAGUAAACACUAUGCACGCGUACUUUUGACUUGUGGUUUGAGGAUGUUGCUCAGUUUGUAGGAUGCUUGAACGAAGCCUGGGGUUCAUGACACAGCGGGGCAUAAAACCCGGGAUGGUGGUGCACACCUGUAAUCCUAGAGUUUAGGAAGCGGAAAUAGGAGGAUCAGAAAUUCAUGGUCAUCCUCAGCUACAUAGCUAGUUUGAGACCAGACUGGGCUAUGUGAGAGCUGUCUCAAAACACAAGCACAUAAACAAACACACGGCAAAGAUUCGGAAGAGGUAGUGUCUUUGCUGGGGUAGAAAAAAGCUGAAGGGGAAAGUAGGUAGGACGCCACAAGAAUGAUUUCCCACCAGGCAGUUGUGGAAUUUGCAGAUAUCCAUAGCUUUGGUUACCUGCUCUGCCUGCCCUGGGCUACAGCGCUCUAAACCAAGAGAAUAUAAAUUAUGCACUCUUUGUGUUCUAGCUCAUUUAGUCUUUACAAAGCUGAGUCUCUUAGCAUUUUCCUUUUACAAAGGAGAGGAAACAGAAGCCCAGAGAGGCUAAUCUACUCUCUGAAGUCACUCAGCAUGGAGCUAGGACACAACUUCAGAUGGUCUGACCCCAGACGCUGAUUCUUCUCCACUGCCUCUGUUAUUGAAGUCACGCUUCAAGGCGGUCCUAAAGGCUGAGUCUUACCUCCAGUGUAGAGAUGGAGUCACCGAGACUUGGCAGGUGAAAUGACUUGGCCACACUUACACACUUAGAAUUCAGCCAGUUGUGGAUCCAUGAAAUUUGUAUCUGAAAACAUGGCCACUGUCUAGGACAUUGGACAGUUCUAGGCUCUGCCUGAGUGGGCCAAGAGAUGAUAGCCCCCUUCAUGCCGUCUACCGUCCUGCCUUCUUGUUCACCUGCCGGCUGUAAUCUCUUUGGUUGGCCCACAGUUACUGCCCAGACCCAGCUUGUGUACCAGAGGCCUUGGUAUUCUGCUGUUCAGACACCAUCCAGUGUCCCAGGGUACGUCGGACACACUUCAGACAUCUUUCAGGAUCUCAAGGUGACCCUGACCUUCAGGAGCCUCACUGAUUGGCCUAGCUGAACAUGUUUGUCAUCAGCGCCCAGAUGUCAGCAUCAGGCAUGACUUGACUGUCAUAGCCUUUCUUCAGAGGACGGGAACGAUAGACAGCUUACAGUUCAUCUCAUUGGACCCACUCGGUGGCUCACUGACCCAGCUGUGCUUCUGAGCAUAGGCUCAAGGGACUUGUUUACUAUCGCUUCACUGGUCAAUAGCAGAGUUGGGAUCUAGACGGCCCUACAACUUACUGCCAUGGAUAGAGCAAGGCACUUAUUGAGUAGAGAGGGAUUAAGGAAAAGGGUAGCUGAGGCAUAUGCCUUUGAUGAGUGUGUGGAAAAUGACUCUGGUUGGGCCCUGGUAAACUGCAUGUGGGCCAGACUCACCUACUCCAUUUAGUUUAUAUAUGUCAUUUCUACCAUGGGAUCUGGCCCAACGAGAAUAUUCUGUCAACAGAUAGAAAGACGGAGUAAGGAGGUGAUUGGUUCUUCUAGGAAGGUGAGGGACGAUGACAUUUUCAUAAAAUCACUGAACUGUGGGUAGGGGACAUGACUCAGAUUGUAAAGUUCUUGGUACAUAAGCAUGAAGACCUGAGUUUGGAUUCCCAGAACCCAUGUAAAUCUGGGUGUAAUGACAUACAUUAGAGACAGAUUUGUAGGUCCUUUUAGCCAGUCAGUCUAGUUGAGUCAGUGGGCUCCAGGUUCAGUGAGAUCCCUGAGAUAGUUCACUUGGUAAAGAUGCUUGUAGCCAAGACUGAUUACUUAAGUUUGAUCCCAGGGACCCACAUGAGGGAAGGAGAUAACCAACUCCUACAAGUUGUCUUCUGACCUUUGUACACGCCAUUCAGCUGGCCACCUCGAGGACUGGUCAGGGCGAAAGUUUUCCCUAGGGAAAUCACUGUGUGUUUUUUUUAAUGUGCGUGUAUUUAUAAGACUUAUAAAGAGUUAUUUUAUUUAAA
Molecule: long non-coding RNA, 2840 nt
Organism: Mesocricetus auratus (golden hamster)
Lineage: Eukaryota; Metazoa; Chordata; Mammalia; Rodentia; Cricetidae
Exons: 2
Source: RefSeq, a predicted model, not a curated record